RNAcentral lists this transfer RNA (74 nucleotides) under Ilyonectria destructans. RNAcentral's name for it is "tRNA-Asn". It matches the Rfam family "tRNA". Rfam says of the family: Transfer RNA (tRNA) molecules are approximately 80 nucleotides in length. Their secondary structure includes four short double-helical elements and three loops (D, anti-codon, and T loops). Further hydrogen bonds mediate the characteristic L-shaped molecular structure. tRNAs have two regions of fundamental functional importance: the anti-codon, which is responsible for specific mRNA codon recognition, and the 3' end, to which the tRNAs corresponding amino acid is attached (by aminoacyl-tRNA synthetases). tRNAs cope with the degeneracy of the genetic code in two manners: having more than one tRNA (with a specific anti-codon) for a particular amino acid; and 'wobble' base-pairing, i.e. permitting non-standard base-pairing at the 3rd anti-codon position. The record is from RNAcentral. Lineage: Eukaryota; Fungi; Ascomycota; Sordariomycetes; Hypocreales; Nectriaceae. RNAcentral also lists the same sequence under 4 other names.
UCCCCGAUGGCGCAAUUGGCUAGCGCGUCUGACUGUUAAUCAGGAGGUUGAUGGUUCGAGCCCAUCUCGGGGAG